AUGUGGGAUAUCCGGUUCUGCCGCACCUUCGAACAAGAAGAGAGUGAAGAGUGCAAUAGACUACGGGCAGCCCUAUCAACGGAGCUUCCAGACUAUCCGGACUCCGUGGCCUGGAAGUUGUCCCCGACGGUAGAAUUUUUGGUGCACUCGGCAUAUCAUGCCCUCUGCAUGUCCCCGCCCACCCCGUGGCUUUCUCCCCUGUGGAAAGCCCCCUUGCCACUGAAGAUUAAGAUCUUUGUGUGGCAGCUACUUCGAGAUCGCAUCCCUUCAGGGACUGAGUUCCUGAAGCGGCAUGGCCCGGGUGAUGGCAUGUGCACCCUAUGUGUGGUUCCGGAGACGGUGGCACAUAUCCUCUUCUCCUGCACGGCGGCACGGGAUCUUUGGACGUUCGUCCGUGAGGCCCUUGAGCCCGAAUGGGAGGCCCUCAAGCUCGCGGAGUUCCUCCAAUACAGGGCUACGCAACGUACCCGUCACCGACUGCUUAUUUUGGCUUAUUUUUGA
Molecule: ribosomal RNA, 501 nt
Filed under: Triticum aestivum (bread wheat)
Lineage: Eukaryota; Viridiplantae; Streptophyta; Magnoliopsida; Poales; Poaceae
Description: partial small subunit ribosomal RNA
Source: RNAcentral